This 377-nucleotide ribosomal RNA is filed under the name uncultured organism. RNAcentral describes it as "partial 16S ribosomal RNA". It matches the Rfam family "Bacterial small subunit ribosomal RNA", at positions 527 to 896 of the family's 1533-position model. The record is from RNAcentral.
GUAGGUGGCAAGCGUUGUCCGGAAUUAUUGGGCGUAAAGCGCGCGCAGGCGGUUCUUUAAGUCUGAUGUGAAAGCCCACGGCUCAACCGUGGAGGGUCAUUGGAAACUGGAGAACUUGAGUACAGAAGAGGAAAGCGGAAUUCCACGUGUAGCGGUGAAAUGCGUAGAGAUGUGGGGGAACACCAGUGGCGAAGGCGGCUUUCUGGUCUGUAACUGACGCUGAGGCGCGAAAGCGUGGGGAGCAAACAGGGAUUAGAUACCCUGGUAGUCCACGCCGUAAACGAUGAGUGCUAAGUGUUAGGGGGUUUCCCGCCCCCCUUAGUGCAGCAGCUAACGCAUUAAGCACUCCGCCGUGGGGUAGUACGGCCGCAAGGCUG